CUCAGGACGAACGCUGGCGGCGUGCCUAAUACAUGCAAGUCGAGCGGACAGAUGGGAGCUUGCUCCCUGAUGUUAGCGGCGGACGGGUGAGUAACACGUGGGUAACCUGCCUGUAAGACUGGGAUAACUCCGGGAAACCGGGGCUAAUACCGGAUGCUUGUUUGAACCGCAUGGUUCAAACAUAAAAGGUGGCUUCGGCUACCACUUACAGAUGGACCCGCGGCGCAUUAGCUAGUUGGUGAGGUAAUGGCUCACCAAGGCAACGAUGCGUAGCCGACCUGAGAGGGUGAUCGGCCACACUGGGACUGAGACACGGCCCAGACUCCUACGGGAGGCAGCAGUAGGGAAUCUUCCGCAAUGGACGAAAGUCUGACGGAGCAACGCCGCGUGAGUGAUGAAGGUUUUCGGAUCGUAAAGCUCUGUUGUUAGGGAAGAACAAGUACCGUUCGAAUAGGGCGGUACCUUGACGGUACCUAACCAGAAAGCCACGGCUAACUACGUGCCAGCAGCCGCGGUAAUACGUAGGUGGCAAGCGUUGUCCGGAAUUAUUGGGCGUAAAGGGCUCGCAGGCGGUUUCUUAAGUCUGAUGUGAAAGCCCCCGGCUCAACCGGGGAGGGUCAUUGGAAACUGGGGAACUUGAGUGCAGAAGAGGAGAGUGGAAUUCCACGUGUAGCGGUGAAAUGCGUAGAGAUGUGGAGGAACACCAGUGGCGAAGGCGACUCUCUGGUCUGUAACUGACGCUGAGGAGCGAAAGCGUGGGGAGCGAACAGGAUUAGAUACCCUGGUAGUCCACGCCGUAAACGAUGAGUGCUAAGUGUUAGGGGGUUUCCGCCCCUUAGUGCUGCAGCUAACGCAUUAAGCACUCCGCCUGGGGAGUACGGUCGCAAGACUGAAACUCAAAGGAAUUGACGGGGGCCCGCACAAGCGGUGGAGCAUGUGGUUUAAUUCGAAGCAACGCGAAGAACCUUACCAGGUCUUGACAUCCUCUGACAAUCCUAGAGAUAGGACGUCCCCUUCGGGGGCAGAGUGACAGGUGGUGCAUGGUUGUCGUCAGCUCGUGUCGUGAGAUGUUGGGUUAAGUCCCGCAACGAGCGCAACCCUUGAUCUUAGUUGCCAGCAUUCAGUUGGGCACUCUAAGGUGACUGCCGGUGACAAACCGGAGGAAGGUGGGGAUGACGUCAAAUCAUCAUGCCCCUUAUGACCUGGGCUACACACGUGCUACAAUGGACAGAACAAAGGGCAGCGAAACCGCGAGGUUAAGCCAAUCCCACAAAUCUGUUCUCAGUUCGGAUCGCAGUCUGCAACUCGACUGCGUGAAGCUGGAAUCGCUAGUAAUCGCGGAUCAGCAUGCCGCGGGGGAAUACGUUCCCGGGCCUUGUACACACCGCCCGUCACACCACGAAGAGUUUGUAACACCCGAAGUCGGUGAGGUAACCUUUUAGGAGCCAGCCGCCGAAAGUGGGACAGAUGAUUGGGGUGAG
RNAcentral lists this ribosomal RNA (1481 nucleotides) under Bacillus sp. (in: firmicutes). RNAcentral describes it as "bacterial SSU rRNA". It matches the Rfam family "Bacterial small subunit ribosomal RNA". Lineage: Bacteria; Bacillati; Bacillota; Bacilli; Caryophanales; Bacillaceae. The record is from RNAcentral.